GGACAUUUAGCUCAGUCGGGAGAGCAGUUGGCUCAUAACCAAAAGGUCCGGGGUUCGAGUCCCUGAAUGUCCA
This 73-nucleotide transfer RNA is filed under the name Bacteriophage sp. RNAcentral's name for it is "tRNA-Met". It matches the Rfam family "tRNA". Rfam says of the family: Transfer RNA (tRNA) molecules are approximately 80 nucleotides in length. Their secondary structure includes four short double-helical elements and three loops (D, anti-codon, and T loops). Further hydrogen bonds mediate the characteristic L-shaped molecular structure. tRNAs have two regions of fundamental functional importance: the anti-codon, which is responsible for specific mRNA codon recognition, and the 3' end, to which the tRNAs corresponding amino acid is attached (by aminoacyl-tRNA synthetases). tRNAs cope with the degeneracy of the genetic code in two manners: having more than one tRNA (with a specific anti-codon) for a particular amino acid; and 'wobble' base-pairing, i.e. permitting non-standard base-pairing at the 3rd anti-codon position. The record is from RNAcentral.